RNAcentral lists this long non-coding RNA (1297 nucleotides) under Rhinolophus ferrumequinum (greater horseshoe bat). RNAcentral's name for it is "lncRNA (ENSRFEG00010021055.1)". The record is from RNAcentral. Lineage: Eukaryota; Metazoa; Chordata; Mammalia; Chiroptera; Rhinolophidae.
AUGCCUGUCUCUUUCUGGAUGCUGAGCCAGAGAGGGGACUUCUCUCUGGGAGGUUCCAGUGUCCCCUGUGGCAUGGGCAGAAAAAUAGCACUAAUAGCCCCAGGCCCCAAAAGGCAAAGCUCCCCUCUGGCUCAGCUAGGCGUCCCCCUCCCCUCUGUGUGCCUGCGGAGCCCCCAAGGUUUUGAGGGGAGCCUCAGCAGAGCCGGAUUCUGGUCAGCAGAGGCGAAGCAGGACCCAGAAUGUAUCUUUCGUGUCCAGAGAGCAGGAGGUGGUACCUGGAUGCCUAACUCUGGGCUGGAACCUGAGUGUGAAGUCACUCAGAGGCUGUGUGACAGAGUCUCGGUGAGUCACGCCUGCCCUUCCUGGGUACACGCGAGUAACAGCGGCUCAUAGAGUUGCUGUGAGCGCCGGAGCAAGAAGCCUGCACACCUUGGUACCCAGCAAAUGCUAAUUUCCCCUUCCUGAGAGGACACCACCCUUGGAAACCAUGUGCCAAGAUCCAGGGUACAGCAGAGCGAAGCUCAAAAAACCUCGUGAGGCCUGAUGAGGAAGUCACCCAUCGCUGGUCACCGAGGAGUCAGAGAGAAGGUGGCCUGGGAAGGGAAUUAUGACACUGCUGGUGGGUCGAGCACUUGCGUGGACAGUAUGGCUGCAGCAUCAGUGUCCAAAAUGUGACCGACCAGUCCCCAGGCUGCGGCUGGACUGUGGAGGGCGUGGAACGCUGAUGGGACAGGAGGGAAGAGGACACCCCCCGCCCCCCCGUCAGGGAACGCCACAGGACGUUCCUUUUUCUUUAUUUUUCAAUGAGGUAAACUUCACAUAAUAGAAAAUUAACUGUUUUAAAGCAUAUAACUCAGUGACAUUUCGUCCGUGCACGGUAUUGUGCCGUCAUCCCCUCUAUCUAGUUCCAAAACAUUUUCAUCACUUGAAAAGGAAGUGCCCUGCCGAAAAAGCAGUCUGUCCCCAUUCUGCCUCCCUCUGACCUCUGGCAACCACGCGUCUACUUUCUUCCCUAUGGAUUUACGUAGUCUGGAUAUCUCAUGUAAAUGGAAUCGUAUAACAUGUGACAUUUUGGGUUCAACAUCUUCCUUGUAGUAUGAUGUUUUCGAGGUUCGCCCACAUUGUAGGAUCAGUACCUCAGUCCUUUUUAUGGCUGAAGUAUUUAUUAUUCCGUUGUCUGGAUGGAGCACAUUUUGUUUAUUCAUAUCUGUCGAUGGACAUUUGGGUUGUUUGGAUUAUAGCUAUUGUGAACAGUGGUGCUAUAAAUAUUCAUAUCAAGUUUCUGUUUGAAUGCCUG